AAUAGAGAAAUAUGUCAUACUGUUCAUUGGUAAAGGUAAGUCUACCAAAUCUAUUAAUUUUGCUGUAUCACUAAAUUGAGUCAAAUCUGUAUAAAAUGUAUGAAAACAUUAUAUAUAUGUGUGUGUGUGUGUGUGUGUGUGUGUGUGUGUGUGUAACUUUUGCUGAAUUACUGCCUUUAACAUGUCAUAGAUCAUUUAUAUUUCCUGGAAAAUUCUAAUUUUUCAUCAUACUUUUGAACAGCCCCUAGUUGCCCUUAAGCCUAACUCCUUAACUGACCCCUUUUCCUUAACGCUUAUCCUACAGGAAUAUGUGGGCAAUCUGAUUUUUCUAAAAUGCUCUGUGGGGGUGCUGACUUCAUUAAAAGUUAUACAUAUACACGUCUGCACAUCCCACAGACCAAGACUACUUUUGGGAGUGAGCAAUCACAGUAAUAAUGCAUAGCAGGGUUGAAGAAGUUUCUAGGAAUCAGACCAUGGAUAUGUGAAUACAGACAGUGACUGGUGAGCUGCAGAGACCAGCUGCAUUCUGAAGUCUCUGAGCCAUGGAAAAGUGUGUGUCCUGGGACCAGCAUUGAAUGCUGUGGGGCUGCCCUGUGGUUCCUAUACAGCUGCUCGGUAAGGACCAUUCACUCAAAGAAAUCCAGGCCUUGGGCUGUGCCCUGUGCUCACUAAUGGGGACUCAGCAGCUGUGUCCCCUCUGGUCUGGCAGAGUUUCCUGAGCAGAGACCUAUGUAUGGUCUCAACAGGUGCUUCCUCCCAGGGCCUUGCAAAAAAGAGCAAACCUUCCUCCUGCUCAGUCUACAGAGUAAGUUGUGCAGCAUCCCCAGGGCUCAGGGCAGGGCUGGACAGUCCCUGGGUAGAAACACAUUUGCAUGAGCAGCCCCUCCUACACAGGGUGAGAAGAAAAGGAGGCCUAAGGCAGCCCAGUCCUACUGCUGGGGUGAGAGGCUGUUUCCACCAUGGCCUGGACUCCUCUCCUCCUCCUUCUCCUCUCUCACUGCACAGGUUCCCUCUCCCAGCCUGUGCUGACUCAGCCAGCAUCACUCUCAGCGACUCCUGGAGCAUCAGCCAGACUCACCUGCACCUUGAGAAGUGACAUCAAUGUUGGGAGCUACACCAUAUACUGGUAUCAGCAGAAGCCAGGAAGUCCGCCUUGGUAUCUCCUGUACUACUACUCAGACUCAAAUAAGCACCAGGGCUCUGGAGUCCCCAGCCGCUUCUCUGGAUCCAAAGAUGCCUCUGCCAAUGCAGGGCUUUUACUCAUCUCUGGGCUCCAGUCUGAAGAUGAGGCUGACUAUUACUGUAUGAUCUGGCACAGCAGUGCUUCUCACAGUGACACACACAGAUGGGGAAGUGGGACAAAAACCUCAGCCUGGACUCACCCUUGUUCUGUGACAAUUUUUAAAUUGAGAAAAUAAUGUCUAUUUACAAACUAUAUUUGGAAGUACUUUCUUGUGCUAACAGGCUUUCUCUCCAUUUCCCAUUCAUUGUUUCUCAAGUCUCAGUAUAACAAAAACAAACAAAACCACCUGAAGACACUAAAAUGUUGGCUGAUUGUCCAUAUAUGCUGAAACCACUGCCUGUGGAGCUGGGCCUUUUUCUUUCGAAAGAAGCAAAAUGAGCCUUUUCUAGCUCACAUUACAGUCAGAGCCUGGGAACAUUCUAGCAGGUAAACAGUACCCUGCAGCAUGGAUUCUGCUGUUCCAGGGUUUAAACCACAGACCUCCCCUUCCAUUUCCAGUAGUCUGUGCUCAGAGCUAUCUAAGGCUCUGCCUGUAUCCCAGGAACAAAGCACUAAAAUGUAAAAUGC
This is a non-coding RNA of Callithrix jacchus (white-tufted-ear marmoset), 1810 nucleotides long. The record is from the annotation of a RefSeq genome assembly. Lineage: Eukaryota; Metazoa; Chordata; Mammalia; Primates; Cebidae.